ACGAACGCUGGCGGCAUGCCUAACACCUGCAAGUCGAACGAGACCUUCGGGUCUAGUGGCGCACGGGUGCGUAACGCGUGGGAACCUGCCCUUAGGUUCGGAAUAACUCCCCGAAAGGGGUGCUAAUACCGGAUAAUGUCUUCGGACCAAAGAUUUAUCGCCUUUGGAUGGGCCCGCGUUGGAUUAGCUAGUUGGUAGGGUAAAAGCCUACCAAGGCGACGAUCCAUAGCUGGUCUGAGAGGAUGAUCAGCCACACUGGGACUGAGACACGGCCCAGACUCCUACGGGAGGCAGCAGUGGGGAAUAUUGGACAAUGGGCGAAAGCCUGAUCCAGCAAUGCCGCGUGAGUGAUGAAGGCCUUAGGGUUGUAAAGCUCUUUUACCCGGGAUGAUAAUGACAGUACCGGGAGAAUAAGCUCCGACUAACUCCGUG
This 432-nucleotide ribosomal RNA is filed under the name uncultured bacterium. RNAcentral describes it as "partial 16S ribosomal RNA". It matches the Rfam family "Bacterial small subunit ribosomal RNA", at positions 29 to 507 of the family's 1533-position model. The record is from RNAcentral.